Molecule: long non-coding RNA, 368 nt
Organism: Cyprinus carpio carpio
Lineage: Eukaryota; Metazoa; Chordata; Actinopteri; Cypriniformes; Cyprinidae
Source: Ensembl
CCGCGUCCUUUGAUCGUGGAGGAAGGUACAGGCCUGUGAUUGGCGAUUACUACCUUGUAGAUCUCUGCUGGAAGACAACAGAGUUUCUCCACUGGCGAUAUACGAGUCCCUGGGGUGCUGGCCCUGAUCUUGGCCUCCCUUUGGGGCUCCUCAGGAAGUGAAGAGGGGGCCCAGGGCCUCGGCGGAACAAACCUGCCCGACUGUAAAUUUCUGGCAAAAGAAUGGUCGCGUGUGAGAAGACUUCCUGUGGCUUCCAUACGGUCUGGAAAAAAAUAGACAAAGAAUGACAGAUGGUGGGAGAAGAAACGGAUCCAGGCAUGAAAAAUCAUCUCUCUUAAGACAAACCCAGUCUGGACACAAGACACAGG